AUGGCAGUAGCCCCUUCUGGUCCUAGUGGACAGAGUGAAAUGAAGAACCCUCCAGGAUCUCCUGAUGCUCCCAUGCUUGCAAGGUUUCACACUGGAGCGGAACUCCUUUGCACGGACUCUCAGAGUGCGGACGCUUCCCUGAAAGCGUUGCGGCAGGACUCAGAUUCAAUCAUUUGCUGUUCCCUGAAGGCUGCUCCUGUGUUCAGCUUCGCUAAUCAAGUCGGCCUCGACAUGUCGGAGGCGAUGCUGAUUGCUCUCCAGGUUUCCCAAGAUCAUGCAUCAGGUACGUGGCCAGCCACCGCUCUGAAUGAAUUGCAGACUCGCCUCUGGGCUCCGGCUGUUUGUAACAAGAUUGAAAGUUUGAAACUCUUGUUGUGUCCAGGGUUUCGCGUACCUCCCCGGCGGCGUGUGCAUGUCGAGCAGGGGUAG
Molecule: ribosomal RNA, 429 nt
Filed under: Triticum aestivum (bread wheat)
Lineage: Eukaryota; Viridiplantae; Streptophyta; Magnoliopsida; Poales; Poaceae
Description: partial small subunit ribosomal RNA
Source: RNAcentral